AAACAUGUCCUAUUGAAGUUUUAAUAGGUCUGGCCUGCCCACUGAGAAUUUAAAGGGCCGCGGUAUCUUGACCGUGCGAAGGUAGCAUAAUCAUUAGUUUUUUAAUUGAAGGCUUGUAUGAAUGGUCGGACAAGAAAUAAGCUGUCUUUAUAAGAUUUAUUGAAUUUAACUUCUAAGUAAAAAGGCUUAGAUAAAUUAAGGGGACGAUAAGACCCUAUAAAGCUUUAUAGUUUCUUGAUUUCUUUAAGAAUAAGUUGUAAAAGUUAAUUUAUUUGGGAAACUAUUAUGUUGGGGCGACAAGAGUAAAAUUUAUUACCUGCUUUUAUUUCGUAACAAAUAAUAUUUGUAAAGUUGAUGAUCCUAGUUAAAGAUUAUAAGUUUAAGUUACUUUAGGGAUAACAGCGUAAUUCUUUUUGAGAGUCCUUAUCGAGAAAAGAGUUUGCGACCUCGAUGUUGAAUUAAGUUGUCUUCUUAUGUGCAGCAGCUAAGAUAGAUGGUCUGUUCGACCUUUAAAAACUUACAUGAUUUGAGUUCAAACCGGCGUGAGCCA
RNAcentral lists this ribosomal RNA (550 nucleotides) under Upogebia noronhensis. RNAcentral describes it as "partial 16S ribosomal RNA". It matches the Rfam family "Archaeal large subunit ribosomal RNA", at positions 1903 to 2697 of the family's 2987-position model. Lineage: Eukaryota; Metazoa; Arthropoda; Malacostraca; Decapoda; Upogebiidae. The record is from RNAcentral.